Molecule: ribosomal RNA, 200 nt
Filed under: uncultured bacterium
Lineage: Bacteria
Description: partial 16S ribosomal RNA
Rfam family: Bacterial small subunit ribosomal RNA
Source: RNAcentral
AGAGUUUGAUCCUGGCUCAGAGCGAACGCUGGCGGCGUGCUUAACACAUGCAAGUCGAGUGCGCGGUAGCAAUACUGGCGCACGGCGCACGGGUGCGUAACACGUGGGCAACCUGCCCUUGAGAGGGGGAUAACCCCGCGAAAGCGGGGCUAAUACCGCAUGAUAUUCCCGGUGGCUGCGGCCGCCGGAUUCAAAGUCCG